UUCGCAAUGCCCGAAAGGGUGGCGAAGCGACGCCGCGUGGGUGAGGAAGGCCUUCGGGUUGUAAAGCCCUGUCAGGAGUUAUGAAAUGUAAGUGCGCUAAUAUCGUGCUUAUUUGACAAAGGCUCCAAAGGAAGCCACGGCUAACUCUGUGCCAGCAGCCGCGGUAAUACAGAGGUGGCGAGCGUUGUUCGGAACUAUUGGGCGUAAAGAGCACGUAGGUGGGUUUGCAAGUCAGAUGUGAAAGCCUUCUGUUCAACGGAAGAAUUGCAUCUGAAACUGCUAAUCUUGAGCAUAGGAGGGGAGAAUGGAACUUCUGGUGGAGCGGUGAAAUGCGUAGAUAUCAGAAGGAACGCCGGCGGCGAAAGCGAUUCUCUGGCCUAUUACUGACACUCAGUGUGCGAAAGCUAGGGGAGCAAACGGGAUUAGAUACCCCGGUAGUCCUAGCCGUAAACGAUGGGCACUAAGUAGAGGGGUUUUA
This 478-nucleotide ribosomal RNA is filed under the name uncultured anaerobic ammonium-oxidizing bacterium. Its description in RNAcentral is "bacterial SSU rRNA". It matches the Rfam family "Bacterial small subunit ribosomal RNA", at positions 365 to 833 of the family's 1533-position model. The record is from RNAcentral.